GAAUUCCUCAGACCAGACUCCGAUAAAGACACGUCAGAAAUCCUCCAAUAAUAAAACACAUGUACCCUGCCAAUGCAGAAUAUGUGCAGGUUUUUCUUGUGAAAUAUUCCAUUCCUUAUGAAUCUGGAAGGAAAUGGCUAUUCAUGGUACCAGUUCCUCAAACACAAAUUCAAAGCGGAGCUGCACCUCUGGUUCUCGAUGAGCAAGGAGAAUGAUGCUGUCUGAAGAAACUCUAGGAUCCUGUCCCAGAUCUAUGUUAGGGGUAAGUGUAUUCCUAUACAUUAACACAGAGCAUCUCUAACCUGUCCUGAAGCCCCACUAUUUAACUCCAAGAACAAUAAAUAAUAAUAAAUAUAUUGGCAUCCACGAAAAGGGAUGAUAACAUUGUUUAUUUAAGUGGUUGCUGCAGUUAAAUAAUCUGCUGCUUUAAGUGCCUGACCACUUUAUUUCUGAUUAGCUGUCAAUGUUUUUAUUGUUCAGUAAAAGAAAAAUCAGU
This is a long non-coding RNA of Sinocyclocheilus grahami, 496 nucleotides long. RefSeq lists it as uncharacterized. Lineage: Eukaryota; Metazoa; Chordata; Actinopteri; Cypriniformes; Cyprinidae. The transcript is spliced from 3 exons. The record is from RefSeq and is a predicted model, not a curated record.